AACUCCCUAGCUAUCUUCCGUGCGGCCUUAGUCACAAUUCGCCCCUGCGAUGUGCUAAGUCAGCCUUUCCCCGAAAUAUUGCCACAACAAAGCUAAUAGAAGCUAAGAAGAGAAGCUUGCAAGAAUGCUCUGUAUUAAACAAGAGAAUGCUUUAUACAAGUGUUGGAUUGCUUGAAUGUUUCUUGGGUGCAAAUGCCAAAUGCCUCUAGCCUAUUUAUAGUUGCUAGAGUCCCAAAUCAACGGCUAAGAUAUAUUCUAAUCAAUGGCUAAGAUCAAAG
RNAcentral lists this long non-coding RNA (278 nucleotides) under Nicotiana benthamiana. Its description in RNAcentral is "long non-coding RNA (NBEN_LNC023403)". Lineage: Eukaryota; Viridiplantae; Streptophyta; Magnoliopsida; Solanales; Solanaceae. The record is from RNAcentral.